UACGUAGGGCGCAAGCGUUAUCCGGAAUUAUUGGGCGUAAAGAGCUCGUAGGCGGUCUGUCGCGUCUGCCGUGAAAGUCCGGGGCUCAACCCCGGAUCUGCGGUGGGUACGGGCAGGCUAGAGUGAUGUAGGGGAGACUGGAAUUCCUGGUGUAGCGGUGAAAUGCGCAGAUAUCAGGAGGAACACCGAUGGCGAAGGCAGGUCUCUGGGCAUUAACUGACGCUGAGGAGCGAAAGCAUGGGGAGCGAACAGG
This 253-nucleotide ribosomal RNA is filed under the name uncultured bacterium. RNAcentral describes it as "partial 16S ribosomal RNA". It matches the Rfam family "Bacterial small subunit ribosomal RNA", at positions 524 to 776 of the family's 1533-position model. The record is from RNAcentral.